RNAcentral lists this ribosomal RNA (222 nucleotides) under Hydroides sp. MC-2010. RNAcentral's name for it is "partial 28S ribosomal RNA". It matches the Rfam family "Eukaryotic large subunit ribosomal RNA", at positions 694 to 911 of the family's 3401-position model. Lineage: Eukaryota; Metazoa; Annelida; Polychaeta; Sabellida; Serpulidae. The record is from RNAcentral.
AAGGGACCACCGAAUCCCCAGGGCGCAAUAAAUGUAAAAAGGUGUGAUCCGGGGCAACCUGGCGCAACACCGCCCCGUCUCGUGACCUUUGUGUCUGAGGCGGAGGUUGAGCGUACAUGUUAGGACCCGAAAGAUGGUGAACUAUGCCUGAGUAGGUUGAAGCCAGAGGAAACUCUGGUGGAGGACCGUAGCGAUUCUGACGUGCAAAUCGAUCGUCGAACU